GUUAACGCUGGCGGCGUGCCUAACACAUGCAAGUCGAACGGUUCUAAGCGCGAGCUUAGGAUAGUGGCGAACGGGUGAGUAAAAGGUAGGAAUCUACCCCUUAGACGGAGAUAGCUACUGGAAACGGUAGGUAAACUUCGAUAAGCCCGAGAGGGGAAAGUGGUGAGACAGCCGAGGGAUGAGCCUACUCUCCAUCAGGUAGUUGGUGAGAUAAAAGCUUACCAAGCCGAUGACGGAUAACCGGUGUGAGAGCAUGAACGGUCACAAGGGCACUGAGAGACGGGCCCUACUCCUACGGGAGGCAGCAGUGGGGAAUCUUGGACAAUGGGCGAAAGCCUGAUCCAGCGACGCCGCGUGGAGGAAGAAGUCCUUCGGGAUGUAAACUUCUGAACUAGCCGAAUAAAAGGCCUGUGGACACACAGGAGAAGAAAGUAGGCUAGGAAAAGUCCCGGCUAACUACGUG
Molecule: ribosomal RNA, 463 nt
Filed under: uncultured bacterium
Lineage: Bacteria
Description: bacterial SSU rRNA
Rfam family: Bacterial small subunit ribosomal RNA
Source: RNAcentral